GAUGAACGCUGGCGGCGUGCCUAAUACAUGCAAGUCGAGCGAACAGACGAGGAGCUUGCUCCUCUGACGUUAGCGGCGGACGGGUGAGUAACACGUGGAUAACCUACCUAUAAGACUGGGAUAACUUCGGGAAACCGGAGCUAAUACCGGAUCAUAUAUUGAACCGCAUGGUUCAAUAGUGAAAGACGGUUUUGCUGUCACUUAUAGAUGGAUCCGCGCCGCAUUAGCUAGUUGGUAAGGUAACGGCUUACCAAGGCAACGAUGCGUAGCCGACCUGAGAGGGUGAUCGGCCACACUGGAACUGAGACACGGUCCAGACUCCUACGGGAGGCAGCAGUAGGGAAUCUUCGGCAAUGGGCGAAAGCCUGACGGAGCAACGCCGCGUGAAUGAUGAAGGUCUUCGGAUCGUAAAACUCUGUUAUUAGGGAAGAACAAAUGUGUAAGUAACUAUGCACGUCUUGACGGUACCUAAUCAGAAAGCCACGGCUAACUACGUG
This 497-nucleotide ribosomal RNA is filed under the name uncultured bacterium. RNAcentral describes it as "partial 16S ribosomal RNA". It matches the Rfam family "Bacterial small subunit ribosomal RNA", at positions 28 to 507 of the family's 1533-position model. The record is from RNAcentral.